Molecule: non-coding RNA, 228 nt
Organism: Arachis ipaensis
Lineage: Eukaryota; Viridiplantae; Streptophyta; Magnoliopsida; Fabales; Fabaceae
Source: RefSeq, a predicted model, not a curated record
UGCCUUUGGUUGGUAAUGCAAUAGGGUUUUGAAUUUCAGUAGAUUGUUGAUAUUGGCAAAACUCUGCCAUUGUUCAUGGAGCUUCAAACCUUAGGUGACAAGACAUGAAGAACCAUGCUCUGCAAAGUAUCUUGUUUUCAAUGUUGCAGGUGUGUGGCACUUAUUAGAAGCUUCUCCAUGAGAAAGAAGAUGUAUGAACAUGAUGGAGUUUGUAAUUUGUAGUUUAUA